GACGAACGCUGGCGGCGUGCUUAACACAUGCAAGUCGAACGGUGAUGCGGAGCUUGCUCCGUUGAUCAGUGGCGAACGGGUGAGUAACACGUGAGCAACCUGCCCCUGACUCUGGGAUAACCCCGGGAAACCGGAGCUAAUACCGGAUAUGAGGCCUGAAGGCAUCUUCGGGUUUGGAAAGAAUUUCGGUCAGGGAUGGGCUCGCGGCCUAUCAGCUUGUUGGUGGGGUAAUGGCCUACCAAGGCGACGACGGGUAGCCGGCCUGAGAGGGCGACCGGCCACACUGGGACUGAGACACGGCCCAGACUCCUACGGGAGGCAGCAGUGGGGAAUAUUGCACAAUGGGGGAAACCCUGAUGCAGCGACGCCGCGUGAGGGAUGACGGCCUUCGGGUUGUAAACCUCUUUCAGUAGGGAAGAAGCCUCCUUUGGGGGGUGACGGUACCUGCAGAAGAAGUACCGGCUAACUACGUGCCAGCAGCCGCAGUAACAC
RNAcentral lists this ribosomal RNA (492 nucleotides) under uncultured bacterium. RNAcentral describes it as "bacterial SSU rRNA". It matches the Rfam family "Bacterial small subunit ribosomal RNA", at positions 28 to 526 of the family's 1533-position model. The record is from RNAcentral.